GACGAACGCUGGCGGCGUGCUUAACACAUGCAAGUCGAACGGAAAGGCCCUGCUUUUGUGGGGUGCUCGAGUGGCGAACGGGUGAGUAACACGUGAGUAACCUGCCCUUGACUGUGGGAUAACUUCAGGAAACUGGGGCUAAUACCGGAUAGGAGCUCCUGCUGCAGGGUGGGGGUUGGAAAGUUUCGGCGGUUGGGGAUGGACUCGCGGCUUAUCAGCUUGUUGGUGGGGUAGUGGCUUACCAAGGCUUUGACGGGUAGCCGGCCUGAGAGGGUGACCGGCCACCUUGGGACUGAGAUACGGCCCAGACUCCUACGGGGGGCAGCAGUGGGGAAUAUUGCACAAUGGGCGGAAGCCUGAUGCAGCAACGCCGCGUGCGGGAUGACGGCCUUCGGGUUGUAAACCGCUUUCGCCUGUGACGAAGCGUGAGUGACGGUAAUGGGUAAAGAAGCACCGGCUAACUACGUG
Molecule: ribosomal RNA, 468 nt
Filed under: uncultured bacterium
Lineage: Bacteria
Description: partial 16S ribosomal RNA
Rfam family: Bacterial small subunit ribosomal RNA
Source: RNAcentral